AGGAAAACUUCUGGGCCUGGAAGGGAGGGAGGGGAAGGGGAGAGAAGUGACUGGUGCCGAUGGGUUUCCGUUGGGUGGAAACAUCCCUGUGCCUGUUUCGUUUUGGAGCAGGAACGAUGUCAACAUUUGGGACAAAGGCCAGGAAGAAGGUGACUGAGCGGUGCUAUAGGGUUGGUGGUGGCACCGAGAACCCCUGUGGGGACUGUCUGUCUGGGGAAGGACAUCCUUCCUUCCAGCCCCUUUGGUGCAUCACGGCCUACACCCAAAUUGGGUCCCCAAGACCAUGGAGGAGAGAAUCUCGCCACCAAGGAGAGAAAGGGCUGGGAAACAAAGAAAUGCCUUUAUUCCCCAAGUGCCAUGAAGCUGCCAGCAUCUAGGCUGUGUUCCCCAUGCAAGGAGGGAGGCCACGGACAUGUCCAGGCUGGAGCCCAGCCCUGAAGUGGUGCAGGUUUGGUGGCCACGUUGUGGUGAUGUUGGUGUCUCUCAGCUCCUUCACCUGCUGCACCUGGAAGGAAGGCACCACGGCCCCAUCCCAGCCAAGGGCCAGGGAAAAGGAAAAACUCCCCAGUUCUGAGCCCCAACAAGGAAACGAAACCAACUGGAAACAAGAAAAUACAACAGCAUCUUCACUCCAAUUUUCAAGAGUUUUUUUUUUUUUUUUUAAAAAAAAAAAGGCUAUUGUGCUACCAGAGCUAUUCUUUCUGGGGAGAUAAUGUAAAGCAUUGCUUCGGAGCUGGCCAAAAUGUCUGAGGAACAUUCCUCCCCCCCCCCAUUUUCAUUAAAAUUCAGAUCAACAUUACAAGUGAGAUAAGAAAAGAAGCGCACAGUUACCGUUCUGCCGCACUCUGUGAUCAC
Oxyura jamaicensis (ruddy duck) is the source of this 855-nucleotide long non-coding RNA. RefSeq lists it as uncharacterized. The record is from RefSeq and is a predicted model, not a curated record. The transcript has 2 exons. Lineage: Eukaryota; Metazoa; Chordata; Aves; Anseriformes; Anatidae.